RNAcentral lists this ribosomal RNA (519 nucleotides) under uncultured Diversispora. RNAcentral describes it as "SSU rRNA". It matches the Rfam family "Eukaryotic small subunit ribosomal RNA", at positions 569 to 1091 of the family's 1831-position model. Lineage: Eukaryota; Fungi; Glomeromycota; Glomeromycetes; Diversisporales; Diversisporaceae. The record is from RNAcentral.
AGCAGCCGCGGUAAUUCCAGCUCCAAUAGCGUAUAUUAAAGUUGUCGCAAUUAAAAGCUCGUAGUUGAACUUCGGGGUUUACCCAUUGGUCAGGCUUAAUUGUCUGUACUGGUGAGAUGAAUCUCUACCUUCUGAGGAACUUUCAUGCCAUUUAUUUGGUGUGAUUGGAAAUCAGGACUGUUACUUUGAAAAAUUAGAGUGUUUAAAGCAGGCUAACGUCUGAAUACAUUAGCAUGGAAUAAUAAAAUAGGACGGUUGGUUCUAUUUUGUUGGUUUCUAGGAUCACCGUAAUGAUUAAUAGGGAUAGUUGGGGGCAUUAGUAUUCAAUUGUCAGAGGUGAAAUUCUUGGAUUUAUUGAAGACUAACUACUGCGAAAGCAUUUGCCAAGGAUGUUUUCAUUAAUCAAGAACGAAGUUAGGGGAUCGAAGACGAUCAGAUACCGUCGUAGUCUUAACCAUAAAACUAUGCCGACUAGGGAUCGGACGAAGUUAAUUUUAAAUGACUCGUUCGGCAUCCUUA